AUGAAAAUUGUCACCGGGGUGCUUGCCUUUGCUGUCCAGCUCCUCCCACAGUUUGAGGGCUCCACAGAUUUGCCUGAGGAGGCGGACAUGGCAGCCUGCCUGGGUCUUUCUAUCAACGACCCAGUGGAGAGCAUCAGCUGCUACGCCAGGGGGAGCGUGUAUCGGCUGGUGCAAAUCCUCCUACAUCAGCGGGGAGAAGCAAAUCCCCGUCAGGGUGGUCGGCAAGCUGCUCCUCAUGAAGUGCUUCAAAGAGCUGCCUCAAGAGCUGCAAGGGCACAGCCUGCUGGCCGGCUCCUCCGCGACCCCCUCCUCCCUCCAGCAGCCCACGCUUGCUCCCGCAGGUACCGGCCUGUGCCCUCUGCCUGUGGGGAGCAGGGAUUUGUGUGAAGAGAGGCGGUGGCUCGCAGCACUGACACCGACCUGCUCCCUGCCGUGUGUCGGGUACUCUCCCCUCCGCCC
Molecule: long non-coding RNA, 459 nt
Filed under: Crocodylus porosus (Australian saltwater crocodile)
Lineage: Eukaryota; Metazoa; Chordata; Crocodylia; Crocodylidae
Description: lncRNA (ENSCPRG00005012450.1)
Source: RNAcentral